This 84-nucleotide transfer RNA is filed under the name Acidobacteriota bacterium. RNAcentral's name for it is "Acidobacteria bacterium tRNA-Leu". It matches the Rfam family "tRNA". From Rfam's summary of the family: Transfer RNA (tRNA) molecules are approximately 80 nucleotides in length. The record is from RNAcentral. Lineage: Bacteria; Pseudomonadati; Acidobacteriota. RNAcentral also lists the same sequence under 1 other name.
GCCGGGGUGGUGGAACUGGUUUACACGAUAGACUCAAAAUCUAUUGGGCUUCGGCCCAUGCGGGUUCGAAUCCCGCCCCCGGCA